AAACCAGCACCUCAAGUGGUCAGGAUGAUUAUUGGGCCUAAAGCAUCCGUAGCCGGCUCUGUAAGUUUUCGGUUAAAUCUGUACGCUCAACAUAUGGGCUGCCGGGAAUACUGCAUAGCUAGGGAGUGGGAGAGGUAGACGGUACUCCGUAGGAAGGGGUAAAAUCCUUUGAUCUAUGGAUGACCACCUGUGGCGAAGGCGGUCUACCAGAACACGUCCGACGGUGAGGGAUGAAAGCUGGGGGAGCAAACCGGAUUAGAAACCCCGGUAGUCC
This 274-nucleotide ribosomal RNA is filed under the name uncultured bacterium. Its description in RNAcentral is "partial 16S ribosomal RNA". It matches the Rfam family "Archaeal small subunit ribosomal RNA", at positions 473 to 747 of the family's 1478-position model. The record is from RNAcentral.